RNAcentral lists this ribosomal RNA (1233 nucleotides) under metagenome. Its description in RNAcentral is "bacterial LSU rRNA". It matches the Rfam family "Bacterial large subunit ribosomal RNA", at positions 1564 to 2808 of the family's 2925-position model. The record is from RNAcentral.
UGAAUACGAGACGCUAAGGCGUCGAAGUAGUGUAUGUCAUACUUCCAAGAAAAGCUUGCACUGUCAUAGAUAAAAAACGCCUGUACCAUAACCGACACAGGUGGGUAGGUAGAGUAUACUAGGGGCGCGAGAUAACUCUCUCUAAGGAACUCGGCAAAAUAACUCCGUAACUUCGGGAGAAGGAGUGCCUUAUUCGUAAGGUUGCAAUAACAAGAUCCAAGCAACUGUUUAUCAAAAACACAGGUCUCCGCUAAGUCGUAAGACGAUGUAUGGGGGCUGACGCCUGCCCAGUGCCAGAAGGUUAAAGAAGUUGGUUAGCAAUUGCGAAGCUGAUAACUGAAGCCCUGGUGAACGGCGGCCGUAACAAUAACGGUCCUAAGGUAGCGAAAUUCCUUGUCGGGUAAGUUCCGACCCGCACGAAAGGCGUAAUGAUUUGGAUACUGUCUCGGAGAGGGGCUCGGUGAAAUAGACUUGUCUGUGAAGAUGCGGACUACCUGCACCAGGACAGAAAGACCCUAUGAAGCUUUACUGUAACUUGAAAUUGAAAUUGGACUUUAUUCGCGCAGUAUAGGUGGGUGGCGUUGAUUAUAAUCUUGUGGGAUUAUUGGAGCCAUCAGUGAGAUAACACUCUUGUAAUGUUAGAUUUCUAACUUUGAAUCAUUAUCUGGUCAAAGAACAGUUUCAGGCGGGCAGUUUGACUGGGGCGGUCGCCUCCUAAACGGUAACGGAGGCGUACAAAGGUUUCCUCUGAACGGUUAGAAAUCGUAUCUAGAGUGUAAAGGCAUAAGGAAGCUUGACUGUGAGACCUACAAGUCGAGCAGGGACGAAAGUCGGUCUUAGUGAUCUGACGGUACUGAGUGGAAAGGCCGUCACUCAACGGAUAAAAGUUACUCUAGGAUAACAGGCUGAUCUCCCCCAAGAGUUCACAUCGACGGGGAGGUUUGGCACCUCGAUGUCGGCUCAUCGCAUCCUGGGGCGGUAGUACGUCCCAAGGGUUGGGCUGUUCGCCCAUGAAAGCGGUACGCGAGCUGGGUUCAGAACGUCGUGAGACAGUUCGGUCCAUAUCCGGUGUAGGCGUUAGAAUAUUGAGAGGAGCCUUCUUUAGUACGAGAGGACCGAGAAGGACAUACCUCUGGUGUACCAGUUAUCGUGCCAACGGUAAACGCUGGGUAGCUAUGUAUGGAGUGGAUAACCGCUGAAAGCAUCUAAGUGGGAAGCCCACCUCAAGAUAAG